GAUGAAGAACGUAUCGAAAUGCGAUAAGUAAUGUGAAUUGCAGAAUUCAGUGAAUCAUCGAAUCUUUGAACGCACAUUGCGCCCGCCAGUAUUCUGGCGGGCAUGCCUGUUCGAGCGUCAUUUCAACCCUCAAGCCCAGCUUGGUGUUGGGGAUCGGCACAGGCGCCCUCGGGCGCCCGCCGUCCCCUAAAUCUAGUGGCGGUCCCGCUGCAGCCUCCUCUGCGUAGUAGUUUUCUCCUCGCAAGGGCAGCUCGGUGGCGACCUCGCCGUAAAACCCCCAACUUCUGAAAGGUUGACCUCGAAUCAGGUAGGAAUACCCGCUGAACUUAAGCAUAUCAAUAAGCGGAGGA
This 350-nucleotide unclassified non-coding RNA is filed under the name soil metagenome. RNAcentral's name for it is "partial contains 5.8S ribosomal RNA, internal transcribed spacer 2, and large subunit ribosomal RNA". The stretch from base 1 to 120 matches the Rfam family "5.8S ribosomal RNA", at positions 35 to 154 of the family's 154-position model. The record is from RNAcentral.